This 427-nucleotide ribosomal RNA is filed under the name uncultured bacterium. RNAcentral's name for it is "partial 16S ribosomal RNA". It matches the Rfam family "Bacterial small subunit ribosomal RNA", at positions 355 to 774 of the family's 1533-position model. The record is from RNAcentral.
UGGGGAAUAUUGCACAAUGGGCGCAAGCCUGAUGCAGCCAUGCCGCGUGUGUGAAGAAGGCCUUCGGGUUGUAAAGCACUUUCAGCGAGGAGGAAGGGGGGUGUGUUAAUAGCGCAUCACAUUGACGUUACUCGCAGAAGAAGCACCGGCUAACUCCGUGCCAGCAGCCGCGGUAAUACGGAGGGUGCAAGCGUUAAUCGGAAUUACUGGGCGUAAAGCGCACGCAGGCGGUUUGUUAAGUCAGAUGUGAAAUCCCCGCGCUUAACGUGGGAACUGCAUUUGAAACUGGCAAGCUAGAGUCUUGUAGAGGGGGGUAGAAUUCCAGGUGUAGCGGUGAAAUGCGUAGAGAUCUGGAGGAAUACCGGUGGCGAAGGCGGCCCCCUGGACAAAGACUGACGCUCAGGUGCGAAAGCGUGGGGAGCAAACA